Molecule: ribosomal RNA, 367 nt
Filed under: uncultured bacterium
Lineage: Bacteria
Description: bacterial SSU rRNA
Rfam family: Bacterial small subunit ribosomal RNA
Source: RNAcentral
GGAGGGUKCAAGCGUUGUCCGGAUUUAUUGGGUUUAAAGGGUGCGUAGGCGGCCCGGUAAGUCAGUGGUGAAAGCCUCCAGCUCAACUGGAGAACUGCCAUUGAUACUGCCGGGCUUGAGUACAGACGAGGUUGGCGGAAUUGAUUGUGUAGCGGUGAAAUGCAUAGAUACAAUCAAGAACUCCGAUUGCGUAGGCAGCUAACUAGGCUGUAACUGACGCUGAGGCACGAAAGCGUGGGGAGCGAACAGGAUUAGAUACCCUGGUAGUCCACGCUGUAAACGAUGAUUACUCGAUGUUGGCGAUAAACUGUCAGCGUCUUAGCGAAAGCGUUAAGUAAUCCACCUGGGGAGUACGCCCGCAAAGGUG